GACGAACGCUGGCGGCGUGCUUAACACAUGCAAGUCGAACGAAGAGCGAUGGAAGCUUGCUUCUAUCAAUCUUAGUGGCGAACGGGUGAGUAACGCGUAAUCAACCUGCCCUUCAGAGGGGGACAACAGUUGGAAACGACUGCUAAUACCGCAUACGAUCUAACCUCGGCAUCGAGGAUAGAUGAAAGGUGGCCUCUACAUGUAAGCUAUCACUGAAGGAGGGGAUUGCGUCUGAUUAGCUAGUUGGAGGGGUAACGGCCCACCAAGGCGAUGAUCAGUAGCCGGUCUGAGAGGAUGAACGGCCACAUUGGGACUGAGACACGGCCCAGACUCCUACGGGAGGCAGCAGUGGGGAAUCUUCCGCAAUGGACGAAAGUCUGACGGAGCAACGCCGCGUGAGUGAUGACGGCCUUCGGGUUGUAAAGCUCUGUUAAUCGGGACGAAAGGCCUUCUUGCGAAUAGUUAGAAGGAUUGACUUACCGGAAUAGAAAGCCACGCA
RNAcentral lists this ribosomal RNA (499 nucleotides) under Veillonella parvula. Its description in RNAcentral is "bacterial SSU rRNA". It matches the Rfam family "Bacterial small subunit ribosomal RNA", at positions 28 to 497 of the family's 1533-position model. The record is from RNAcentral. Lineage: Bacteria; Bacillati; Bacillota; Negativicutes; Veillonellales; Veillonellaceae.